Molecule: ribosomal RNA, 328 nt
Filed under: uncultured Lachnospiraceae bacterium
Lineage: Bacteria; Bacillati; Bacillota; Clostridia; Lachnospirales; Lachnospiraceae
Description: partial 16S ribosomal RNA
Source: RNAcentral
GGAGUUUGGGCCGUGUCUCAGUCCCAAUGUGGCCGUUCGCCCUCUCAGGUCGGCUACUGAUCAUCGCUUUGGUAGGCCGUUACCCCACCAACUGGCUAAUCAGACGCGGAGCCCUCCCAUACCGCCGGAGCUUUUCACACUCUACCAUGCGGUAGUGUGCGCUUAUGCGGUAUUAACAAUCAUUUCUAAUUGGUAUCCCCCUGUAUGGGGCAGGUUCUCCACGCGUUACUCACCCGUCCGCCACUCGGUUAGAAAACUUCCAUCCGAAAACUUCCGUUAACUAACCUCGUUCGACUUGCAUGUGUUAAGCACGCCGCCAGCGUUCAUC